AGCGAACGCUGGCGGCAGGCUUAACACAUGCAAGUCGAACGCUCCGCAAGGGGAGUGGCAGACGGGUGAGUAACGCGUGGGAACGUGCCUUUUGGUUCGGAACAACCCAGGGACACUUGGGCUAAUACCGGAUAAGCCCUUACGGGGAAAGAUUUAUCGCCAAAAGAUCGGCCCGCGUCUGAUUAGGUAGUUGGUGGGGUAAAGGCUCACCAAGCCGUCGAUCUGUAGCUGGUCUGAGAGGACGACCAGCCACACUGGGACUGAGACACGGCCCAGACUCCUACGGGAGGCAGCAGUGGGGAAUAUUGGACAAUGGGGAACCCUGAUCCAGCAAUGCCGCGUGAAUGAAGAAGGCCUUAGGGUUGUAAAUUCUUUUGUUCGUGAAGAUAAUGACGGUAGCGGACGAAUAAGCCCUGGCUAACUCUGUGCCAGCA
This 434-nucleotide ribosomal RNA is filed under the name uncultured bacterium. RNAcentral's name for it is "bacterial SSU rRNA". It matches the Rfam family "Bacterial small subunit ribosomal RNA", at positions 29 to 513 of the family's 1533-position model. The record is from RNAcentral.